Molecule: long non-coding RNA, 734 nt
Organism: Portunus trituberculatus (swimming crab)
Lineage: Eukaryota; Metazoa; Arthropoda; Malacostraca; Decapoda; Portunidae
Exons: 3
Source: RefSeq, a predicted model, not a curated record
UAAUGUAUAGUCACUUUGUUCAUGAAUUGAGGUGCGGUGAGGACUAAGGAUGCUAAACUCCAUAGCUUCCUUAGUGAGGAGUGGAGUGAGGAAUAAGGAAUGAGGGACAAGCAUCAAGUUUGAAAUGCUAAGGCGGGUUUGCACGGGGCUGUUUAUCCAGCAGACUGCUUGCAGGCUUGGCUGGGUGGCAGGCUGGCUGGUUGGCUGCGUGACCUCUGCACCAAACACCAAUGGUCAAGAUGGAGUUCUCGGACGAGCUGCUUGCUCAUGCGGGUUGCAAGUUGGCGAUGUCAUGCAGUCUUGCACGUCUGGCAGCGAACACGGCGUCUGCAGCAGCGACGCUGAAAGGAAACCUUUCCGGAGACACGGACACGUUCCACCAGAUAGCUAAUUAUCAAGCUCAGGUUAUCUAGAACUCCCUCACUUAUGAAUUAUGUUCAUUGCCCAGAUCUCAUUAAGUAAAUAGUGUGACCAAACAUAACAUAAAGGAACGAACAAUUAUGCCAAUAAAUGACUGUAGCCAUACGUAGAAUGGUGCAAGAGGACUGGGGGAGAAGUGGGGGCGUGUCUGUCAGCGUAAAUGCAUCCUACAAGUUCCAGCCAAGGAAAGAAAGGAACAUGAUGACGCAAUAAACCUGUUUUAUUGUUCAACAUUCAAUGUAAUGAAACUAUUGUGUACAUAAUAUAUUCUUUUUUAUUUUGGGUUAAAUAAGUUUAUAAAUUACUUGACUGAA